AAUAGAUUCUACCUUCCUGUAACGUUUCAGCCUGAUUGGACCUUGUUUUCACACAAAUGAACCCAGAAUGAUGUGAAAUUGUGCAUCGUGCAACAUAAUUCUGGGUGCCAUUUACAAACCAUAAGUGCUAAUGACUCCAUUCCUUUUUGAGGUUGUAGGGGCUGUUGGUUGGAGUACAUUAAAACAAACCUGAUCUCUCUAGGACAUUCAGAAGCCAAGUUAUAAGCCCACAAAUGUGUAACUGGACUACUUCUUUAAAGGCCCCGUGUGUGAAAUUCACAGAAAUCAUAGUAAAAAGAUCCGACUCUUUAGCACCACGCAGUUUAGAGUCGGUAUUGCAGCUAUUGGAGCCCCCGAGGAUCAAAAAGGGUUUUUUUAUCAUUAUUUAAAACUUUAUUAACAAAUAUAACAAAUACAAUACAAAAUCGUGUUGCUGUAAACGGCAGCAUGUCAUCAUCUAAUUCCAGCUUUCAAGUCAGCGAACAGGUUAGUUGUUUUCAUGUAACUUAUUUUAUUAAUUUAAUCUAAAUAGGUUUUGAAUAAGAAAAACUUUUUUAUGUCAGUUAUGUUUGCUAAUAGCAAACGGCAGCUAGUUAGUGAUGACUUCUGACUACAAAAAAUGACAAUAUUUUGUUCAUUUUAUUUGAGAAAUGUUAUAUUUCUAUUUGCCAUUUUGGAAAUAUACAAGGUAGUGUAGUCUGUAAUUGUUUUCUCUCCGUAAACAGAGUCAGAUAUCAUCCGAUGGUUCAUCAGUGGAGACAGACAGAGGACGAGGGAGAGGAAGAGGGCGAGGAAGAGGGAGAGGACAGACGUGUGCCAGCGCACAGAGAGGCAGAGGUGUUAGACAUGCGACAGAAGCAGGGCAAGCAUCCCAAGAUGAAGGAGCCGAAUUUGCUCAAACCAGCCGCAACGUCCCACGCACAAGAGGAAGAGGCAGAGCUGCAAUAAAGUCUAGAAGAUCGAUGCUUUCAAGAGCUGAUGAGGAGAGUCGAGGAGCUUCAAAGGGAAAGAAGAGCAGAAAUUGAGCGCCUUGUACAGGGCAUGAGCCUGGAGGACCACCGUCAUCUCAUCUCUCAACUUUUGGAAAGACAGCCAGGUCUGGUUUUUGAUGUUUUGUUGGACAACCAACGCCGAGAUAGGCACACCACACCCGUGCAGGCCCCUGCGUUAACAUGGUGUACUUGUGGCAAUUGCACAGAUAUGCCAACAGAUGCAGAGCGCAAAUGCUGUGGACAAGACUCUGUAAACUGUAAGCCUUCUGCCCCAUUUUAGACUUUACUGUUUGGAUGAAGGUGUCCUGAGGAUCCAUCGUCAGUACAGAGCAGACCUCACCGUAUUAGGACAGAUUAGGGAACCAGGCGAUGACAACAGGGAAUACAGGUAUGCUGCCUACCGGCACUUCAUUUUCUGGCAGCAUGGGUCACUUGGACAUGGAAAUCGAAGAGUCAUCCCAAGUUGCUGUGUGGUCAAAAUUAGGGAGAAAUUUCCAGACCCUCAUGGACAGUAUACUGGUUUUCUUCCGGGAGUGUAACUGGUCAAAAGUUUACAUGGGUUGUUGAAGUGUUUCUGAUAUUUUGUACACCUUUAUAUUGUAAUUUAUUAUGUUGAAUAAGUAUUUUAGAUAAAUAUUUUUUGAAACCCCAAUGUUAGUGUUGUACAAUAAUGACAAAUUUAGAGGUGGCUACUCUUCAGCCAUGUAUACUCUUGUAAUGUGAAAAAAAAAUCACAUCUUUACAACUCCAUAGUUUUGCAUUACAUUAGUGAGCUAUUAAUUUACACUCUUACAGGGUCAAGUCAUGAAACAAAAAAUAUGUAAUUUUCUGAAAGACAUAAGAAAUAAAGAAAUUAGUACAGAUGCACUUUUAUUUGAAUUAACCUUAUUCAGAGUUUGAACAGACAAAUUUGGAACACAUUUUAAUCUUGAAACAUGAUUUUACACACUUUAGGAUAAUAAAGAAUAGAUCUAACGUAAAAGACUGUGCAGAAUUUAUGUGCUACUUCAAGUAAAAAGAACAACAUGUUAGCACAGUAGUAAAGACAUCAAAGUGCAAUAUCUACAUUUUUAUGUACAUUACAUUAGUAACACGCAGCAGGUAUAGAAUACUCCAUGUAAAUGUAGACAAGAUCGUCACUGGAGGCCUGUAGCUGUGUUGAGUUCUGAUACUGUGAAAAAAGUAUUGUAAGACAAGUGUAGGUAAAGAACUGAGCUGUAGUCAAAGGAUGCUAAAAUGACACA
Non-coding RNA from Nothobranchius furzeri (turquoise killifish), 2236 nucleotides. NCBI's taxonomy places the organism in Eukaryota, Metazoa, Chordata, Actinopteri, Cyprinodontiformes, Nothobranchiidae. The record is from RefSeq and is a predicted model, not a curated record.